Long non-coding RNA from Astatotilapia calliptera (eastern happy), 1568 nucleotides. The record is from Ensembl. NCBI's taxonomy places the organism in Eukaryota, Metazoa, Chordata, Actinopteri, Cichliformes, Cichlidae.
GGAGUUUUGAUCUCCUCCAUACCCGCUUCACACCCUGGAGGACGGGGCUGUGGCCCCCCCACACUCCCUAGCAGAUCAUUACAUGGAGAAACCUUUGGAAUGCAAGCAUGCUGAUCCACACAGGUAUGCACACAUGGGUAUUCACAGACGCGGACUAAAGCUUUCUUGGCUGCUGCCUCAAAGCACACUGUGCGCUGUCUAUCUUGCGUGCUGCACAAUAUCGUUUAUUAUUUAGUAAAUAUUGAUAUCUAUGACUAGCUAGUUUAUUGUGAUGGUGCUUUGUUUUCUCUAUUAUUAUGUUACUCUUUGUUGUUUGCUGUCUCCUCUGUUUGUUUUUUUUGUUUGUUUGUUUUUUUUUCUCCAUACAGGUGACCCAGGAGUUCUUUUUUUUUUUUCCCUCUCUUCCCCCCCCUUCUCACCGUCUCUUCUCCCCUUUGGUUUCCUUUCUUUCUCUCCCCCUCUUUCUCUCAUUCAUUCCCCCUGUCCUAUUUAUUAAAAAAAAAAAAAAAAAUGACAAAGGAUGAACUGAAGCUCUGCCAUCACGUAAUGUCGCAUACUGCUGUUUCUGAUGUCAUUUAAAAAAAAAAAAAAAAAAAAAAAAAAAAGGAAUUUCAGGAGCGGGACCACGCCUCCAAACACGCUCCUUCCAGUUGUCAUCUGUAUAGGUUCCCCCAGUUCUGCAAGCUGUUCAUUCUAGUUUACGUGCCCCACCCUCCCUUCCUCCCUCCUUGUUCUCAGUUCUUUAACUUCUUCAUUUCUGUUUAGUGCACGGGGAUCUGCCAGGCCCGGGAGCCAUUGCCAGUCCCCUUCGAUGCCUUCCCCAAACAGCAGCUCAAUUCAUGUCAAAGCAUUUACUUUUACCUACUAAAACGCUGUCAAACCUAAAAUGAGGACGUGGGCCCAGCUAGUGAAUUAGCACACUAAACUUUGACUUGGAACUCCACGUGAAUCCAAUUUGUGUCCAUACCUUGACAGAAUGAUCCGAUGGACCCAGCCGGCUCGGGUCAAGUGAGUUGCGCCCUUGCAAACCAACAAGAACAGCUGGGCUGGCACGAAGAAAUGCUGCAGCACAUCUCAGGAGAAAUGAACACAAUCACCCUUCACUUGGGUGAAGUGAAAGGUAUGAUGCAAACACAUGUAACUGAAUUUCUGGUUAACCUACCUGUUCGUCACAGCCCCGCACCACCUGUUGUUCUGCAGCCAUCGCCGCCACCCAAUUUUCUGAAAAGGCCUUUACCUACGCCUGAGUUAGUUAGAGAAAGAUGGUGAGUUAGAGAAACAUGGGGGUUUUCCAUACCAAAAGUUGUGCCCACCAAUAACAAUGGGGUUAUUGGCGGGCAAAGUCUCUAGUGUUUCAUGUUUGCUGGAAACAUGCCAAGACUCAUGCUUCUAGCUAAAAUCUCAGUCAGCGGUCAAACGUACUUCCUCAAAGCUUUAAUUGAUUCCGGAGUCAAAUAGUAUUGAUCACUCUCUUGCUGCUCAUUCAUAUUUAUCUCCCGUUCCGCUUCCUGAACCUUUCUCCCUGUCUGCUGGACACAACACAUAGAACUCAGGCCAUAACUCAGACU